GCAAUAAUAGCUUAAUGCUAAAGCAUUGGUCUUGUAAGCCAAGGAUGAGGUGCAAAAUUUCUUAUUGCU
Molecule: transfer RNA, 69 nt
Filed under: Titiscania limacina
Lineage: Eukaryota; Metazoa; Mollusca; Gastropoda; Cycloneritida; Neritopsidae
Description: tRNA-Thr
Rfam family: tRNA
About the family: Transfer RNA (tRNA) molecules are approximately 80 nucleotides in length. Their secondary structure includes four short double-helical elements and three loops (D, anti-codon, and T loops). Further hydrogen bonds mediate the characteristic L-shaped molecular structure. tRNAs have two regions of fundamental functional importance: the anti-codon, which is responsible for specific mRNA codon recognition, and the 3' end, to which the tRNAs corresponding amino acid is attached (by aminoacyl-tRNA synthetases). tRNAs cope with the degeneracy of the genetic code in two manners: having more than one tRNA (with a specific anti-codon) for a particular amino acid; and 'wobble' base-pairing, i.e. permitting non-standard base-pairing at the 3rd anti-codon position.
Source: RNAcentral